CAGUGGCGUGACGGUGGUGUGGUGUUUUUUAUCCAAAAUUGUAAAAAAAGUUAUUUUGUGUAUUUUAAUUUAAAUUUUAAUUUGUAAUAUACGUGGUAAUAUCGAUAAUAUACAAUGUAGGGGCGUUUGCACCAAGUUUUUUAAGCAAAACUUAACAUUAUGUUUAGCUUAUUUUCUUGAACUAUGCUUUAAUCUAACUUGAAUUUAUAUUUAAAUUAAGCGGUCAAAUUUCCAGGCUAGUGGCCACUUAACCUGACUAAGGCACAAAAAAUUUGUUUUACGAGGAAGUAUAAUUAUUUUUAUUAUAUUCCUUUGAGAAAGCUAAAAAGUGUAUUAUGAUACCUCUACGUAAGUUCGAUGAUUACUUUUGAUAUCUUAGAGACGUCGAUCAGUAGGUAUAUUCAUUGAAAAUGGAUUUCCUCAAGAGUGGAUGUAAGGAAAAAUCAUAUUUCCAAGAAAUGAACCUCCUUAAGUCUUUAGGACAGAGACUUUUAAAUGACACUGUAAUAUAUAUCCUCGGUUUAAUUGAACAAAAUCUAGAAUAUCAAUAUGAGAGAAACAACAGCAAAAGUGUUUUAAAUCAACUCUUGUGUAUAUUAAGAUUCUACACUUCAGGGGCUAUGUCCAGUCUACAGCUUUUUUUAUGGGCAUGUAUGUUUGUUUCUACCACUUCUCGUAUUAUGUUACAAAAGUAUCCCAUGAACUUCCACUGCUUUACCCUCAGUUCAUAAAAAUGCCUGAAUAAGAAACUCUAGUUUUAGAGCAGGAACAAUUUUAUAGUAUAUUUGGGUUUCCUUGGAUUAUAGGGAUAGUUGAUGGAACACAAUGUAAGAAAACAUUCACCUGGGGGUAAUGAUGGAGAGGUAUUUAGAAA
Long non-coding RNA from Sitophilus oryzae (rice weevil), 874 nucleotides. RefSeq lists it as uncharacterized. The record is from RefSeq and is a predicted model, not a curated record. The transcript has 3 exons. Lineage: Eukaryota; Metazoa; Arthropoda; Insecta; Coleoptera; Curculionidae.